GAGUUUGAUCUUGGCUCAGAUUGAACGCUGGCGGCAGGCCUAACACAUGCAAGUCGAGCGGUAGAGAGAAGCUUGCUUCUCUUGAGAGCGGCGGACGGGUGAGUAAUGCCUAGGAAUCUGCCUGGUAGUGGGGGAUAACGCUCGGAAACGGACGCUAAUACCGCAUACGUCCUACGGGAGAAAGCAGGGGACCUUCGGGCCUUGCGCUAUCAGAUGAGCCUAGGUCGGAUUAGCUAGUUGGUGAGGUAAUGGCUCACCAAGGCGACGAUCCGUAACUGGUCUGAGAGGAUGAUCAGUCACACUGGAACUGAGACACGGUCCAGACUCCUACGGGAGGCAGCAGUGGGGAAUAUUGGACAAUGGGCGAAAGCCUGAUCCAGCCAUGCCGCGUGUGUGAAGAAGGUCUUCGGAUUGUAAAGCACUUUAAGUUGGGAGGAAGGGCAGUAAAUUAAUAACUUUGCUGUUUUGACGUUACCGACAGAAUAAGCACCGGCUAACUCUGUGCCAGCACG
RNAcentral lists this ribosomal RNA (512 nucleotides) under uncultured bacterium. Its description in RNAcentral is "bacterial SSU rRNA". It matches the Rfam family "Bacterial small subunit ribosomal RNA", at positions 9 to 515 of the family's 1533-position model. The record is from RNAcentral.